Molecule: transfer RNA, 67 nt
Filed under: Dasyurus hallucatus (northern quoll)
Lineage: Eukaryota; Metazoa; Chordata; Mammalia; Dasyuromorphia; Dasyuridae
Description: tRNA-Pro
Rfam family: tRNA
About the family: Transfer RNA (tRNA) molecules are approximately 80 nucleotides in length. Their secondary structure includes four short double-helical elements and three loops (D, anti-codon, and T loops).
Source: RNAcentral
CAGGAAGUAGUUUAAGUAGAAUAUCGGCUUUGGGCGUUGAUGGUGGGGCGUAAUGCCUUCUUCCUGA